This 449-nucleotide ribosomal RNA is filed under the name uncultured bacterium. RNAcentral describes it as "bacterial SSU rRNA". It matches the Rfam family "Bacterial small subunit ribosomal RNA", at positions 29 to 524 of the family's 1533-position model. The record is from RNAcentral.
AGCGAACGCUGGCGGCAGGCCUAACACAUGCAAGUCGAACGAACCCUUCGGGGUUAGUGGCGGACGGGUGAGUAACACGUGGGAACGUACCUUUAGGUUCGGAACAACACAGGGAAACUUGUGCUAAUGCCGAAUGUGCCCUUCGGGGAAAGAUUUAUCGCCUUUAGAGCGGCCCGCGUCUGAUUAGCUUGUUGGUGAGGUAAAGGCUCACCAAGGCUACGAUCAGUAGCUGGUCUGAGAGGAUGAUCAGCCACACUGGGACUGAGACACGGCCCAGACUCCUACGGGAGGCAGCAGUGGGGAAUCUUGCGCAAUGGGCGAAAGCCUGACGCAGCCAUGCCGCGUGAAUGAUGAAGGUCUUAGGAUUGUAAAAUUCUUUCACCGGGGAAGAUAAUGACGGUACCCGGAGAAGAAGCCCCGGCUAACUUCGUGCCAGCAGCCGCGGUAAU